CGGACGGGUGAGUAAUGUCUGGGAAACUGCCUGAUGGGAGGGGGUAACUACUGGAAACGGUAGCUAAUACCGCAUAACGUCGCAAGACCAAAGAGGGGGACCUUCGGGCCUCUUGCCAUCGGAUGUGCCCAGAUGGGAUUAGCUAGUAGGUGGGGUAACGGCUCACCUAGGCGACGAUCCCUAGCUGGUCUGAGAGGAUGACCAGCCACACUGGAACUGAGACACGGUCCAG
This 232-nucleotide ribosomal RNA is filed under the name uncultured bacterium. RNAcentral's name for it is "partial 16S ribosomal RNA". It matches the Rfam family "Bacterial small subunit ribosomal RNA", at positions 99 to 334 of the family's 1533-position model. The record is from RNAcentral.